RNAcentral lists this transfer RNA (72 nucleotides) under Phyllobacterium brassicacearum. RNAcentral describes it as "tRNA-Gly". It matches the Rfam family "tRNA". From Rfam's summary of the family: Transfer RNA (tRNA) molecules are approximately 80 nucleotides in length. Their secondary structure includes four short double-helical elements and three loops (D, anti-codon, and T loops). RNAcentral also lists the same sequence under 1 other name. Lineage: Bacteria; Pseudomonadati; Pseudomonadota; Alphaproteobacteria; Hyphomicrobiales; Phyllobacteriaceae. The record is from RNAcentral.
GCGGGAGUAGCUCAGGGGUAGAGCACAACCUUGCCAAGGUUGGGGUCGUGGGUUCGAAUCCCAUUUCCCGCU